RNAcentral lists this ribosomal RNA (489 nucleotides) under uncultured bacterium. RNAcentral's name for it is "partial 16S ribosomal RNA". It matches the Rfam family "Bacterial small subunit ribosomal RNA", at positions 29 to 506 of the family's 1533-position model. The record is from RNAcentral.
AGUGAACGCUGGCGGCAGGCCUAAUACAUGCAAGUCGAACGGCAGCACAGUGGAGCUUGCUCCAUGGGUGGCGAGUGGCGGACGGGUGAGGAAUACAUGGGAAUCUGCCCAGUCGUGGGGGAUAACGUAGGGAAACUUACGCUAAUACCGCAUGCGCCCUUCGGGGGAAAGCCGGGGACCUUCGGGCCUGGCGCGAUUGGAUGAGCCCAUGUUCGAUUAGCUAGUUGGCGGGGUAAAGGCCCACCAAGGCGACGAUCGAUAGCUGGUCUGAGAGGAUGAUCAGCCACACUGGGACUGAGACACGGCCCAGACUCCUACGGGAGGCAGCAGUAGGGAAUAUUGGACAAUGGGCGCAAGCCUGAUCCAGCCAUGCCGCGUGAGUGAAGAAGGCCCUCGGGUUGUAAAGCUCUUUUGUCCGGGAAGAAAAGCAUCGGGCUAAUACCUCGGUGUUCGGACGGUACCGGAAGAAUAAGCACCGGCUAACUUCGU